RNAcentral lists this small RNA (452 nucleotides) under Rattus norvegicus (Norway rat). RNAcentral describes it as "uncharacterized LOC108348576". The record is from RNAcentral. Lineage: Eukaryota; Metazoa; Chordata; Mammalia; Rodentia; Muridae.
GGAUUGAACCUCUGAACCUGGUAGCAUUUUCUGCUUCUCUGGAUAUGUGAUAAAGCCUCUGUAAUCAGAUACAGCUCUUCCUUCUGCUCCAGAGUUAAGCCAGUCAAACUCAUUCCUACGAUGGCCAGAAAACCGAUCUCCAAACAGAGUUGGUACAGCUUCUGAGGAAUGAAAGGUUUCAUGGAAAGAGGUGAAAGGGUUGCAUAGGAGAAGAGCCUUAAAAGCAUAAAGCUACGUGGAAUAAAGUAAAAGAUUCACGAGAAAACUGGUCAGUUGGAUUCAGAGUCCAAAUGUCAAAGAAGAGAUCUUGCACCAGAGAGGCAUCCAUGAAUGUCACAAAGCUUGUGGAAACUGCUGGAGAAGUCUAUCAGGCUAUGUGAAAUGUUUCUAAUCCCAAUAUUUAAAUAUUGCUCUGGGUCCGGCCAACAUUGUGGGUGUGAUGGUUUGUAUAU